UGUAAAAAAAUGUAUGAUGCAUUUUGAAUUUUGAUUUCUUUAGUCUCAGUUUAAUUCUGAGUUUUACAA
This 69-nucleotide transfer RNA is filed under the name Penthicodes caja. RNAcentral describes it as "tRNA-Gln". Lineage: Eukaryota; Metazoa; Arthropoda; Insecta; Hemiptera; Fulgoridae. The record is from RNAcentral. RNAcentral also lists the same sequence under 1 other name.